RNAcentral lists this transfer RNA (87 nucleotides) under Deltaproteobacteria bacterium. RNAcentral describes it as "tRNA-Leu". It matches the Rfam family "tRNA". Rfam says of the family: Transfer RNA (tRNA) molecules are approximately 80 nucleotides in length. Lineage: Bacteria; Pseudomonadati; Myxococcota; Myxococcia. The record is from RNAcentral.
GCCCAGGUGGCGGAAUUGGUAGACGCGCUAGGUUCAGGUCCUAGUAGGGGCAACUCUGUGCAGGUUCGAUUCCUGUCUUGGGCACCA